This 485-nucleotide ribosomal RNA is filed under the name uncultured bacterium. RNAcentral describes it as "SSU rRNA". It matches the Rfam family "Bacterial small subunit ribosomal RNA", at positions 26 to 521 of the family's 1533-position model. The record is from RNAcentral.
AGGAUAAACGCUGGCGGCGUGCCUAACACAUGCAAGUCGAACGCGCUUGCUAUCCGCGAGGACGGUGAGCGAGUGGCGGACGGGUGAGGAACACGUGGGUGACCUACCUUUCAGUGAGGGAUACCGGCGAGAAAUUGCCGACAAGACCGCAUACGCUUCUCUUUUCAAGGGGAGAAGGAAAGCUUUUCGCAAGAGAGGCGCUGGGAGAUGGGCCUGCGGCCGAUUAGCUAGCUGGUGGGGUAAUGGCCUACCAGGGCGACGAUCGGUAGCUGGUCUGAGAGGACGAUCAGCCACACUGGGACUGAGACACGGCCCAGACUCCUACGGGAGGCAGCAGUGAGGAAUUUUCCGCAAUGGGCGAAAGCCUGACGGAGCGACGCCGCGUGCACGAGGAAGGUCUUCGGAUCGUAAAGUGCUGUCGAGGGGGACGAUUAUGACGGUACCCCUGGAGGAAGCCCGGCUAACUACGUGCCAGCAGCCGCGGU